RNAcentral lists this ribosomal RNA (466 nucleotides) under uncultured Caulobacter sp. Its description in RNAcentral is "bacterial SSU rRNA". It matches the Rfam family "Bacterial small subunit ribosomal RNA", at positions 8 to 518 of the family's 1533-position model. Lineage: Bacteria; Pseudomonadati; Pseudomonadota; Alphaproteobacteria; Caulobacterales; Caulobacteraceae. The record is from RNAcentral.
AGAGUUUGAUCUUGGCUCAGAACGAACGCUGGCGGCAUGCCUAACACAUGCAAGUCGAACGGAUCCUUCGGGAUUAGUGGCGGACGGGUGAGUAACACGUGGGAACGUGCCCUUUGGUUCGGAACAACUCAGGGAAACUUGAGCUAAUACCGGAUGUGCCCUUCGGGGGAAAGAUUUAUCGCCAUUGGAGCGGCCCGCGUCUGAUUAGCUAGUUGGUGAGGUAAAGGCUCACCAAGGCGACGAUCAGUAGCUGGUCUGAGAGGAUGAUCAGCCACACUGGGACUGAGACACGGCCCAGACUCCUACGGGAGGCAGCAGUGGGGAAUCUUGCGCAAUGGGCGAAAGCCUGACGCAGCCAUGCCGCGUGAAUGAUGAAGGUCUUAGGAUUAGUAAAAUUCUUUCGACCGGGGACGAUAAUGACGGUACCCGGAGAAGAAGCUCCGGCUAACUUCGUGCCAGCAGCCGC